GCCGUGAUCUGCGAAUAAACACAGCCAGUAAACAAUGGAGUGGAGGCCGUGCCCACGUAUAGGCAAAGUACACACGCACCACCAAAUUGCAGAAGUGUAAACUCAGGACCUCACAGCUCUGUCAAUUUACACAGACAUUCAAUUCAUUCUAUUAAUUUUAGACAUAUAAUGUCAACAGUGACAGAGUUUGAGCUCAAAUAAAUGCCGUGAUGUCUGGAGCCCUUUGCAGAAGGCAGACGGCAGGGGCUCUCCGAUGGGCUUCCGUGGCUUGCCAACAACAAGCAUCGACUGUUUUUGCACAGAUGUGCGGGGCUUUGAUUCGAUGGAAACUUUUCAAUGGCGGCCCACCGUCUACUUUCAACACACUACUCGGACCUUAAAAGGCACUUUCCUGUUUGACGUACCUGGCUGCAAUAUGAAAUAUCAAAGCCUCUGUCAGUGUGGAGCUGAAUGGGAACAAAAGAGAGGCCUCCAUUAAUGAUUAACUGUUCUAAAAGCCCCGGCUUUUGUAUUCCCAUGGUGCCCGGGCUAUCUUGCCGCCAUGUGACAUGCUCACAGCAUUUUUCGAGCAGAUUGGGGGAAAGCUAGUGAGCAAACACAGGUGCUUUGGAGCGGCGUUGGCGAUGCUGUCAGGGACAACCACAAACAAGAGCAGCUAUGCCUGGCUAAAUGAAUCCCCGCCACACCCCCCCUUCCCCCCUCCCCCCGCCCCGCCACCACCAGCCACACACCCGACCCCCGAACGCUGCAGUGCUAGCUAACUUGUUUGCUAGCUGCCUAGCUCUCGCAUAAAGCCAAAGCCUCCCUUCUGGAGAGUCUGCCCCCUCCCCUCCUCAAACCCCGCCCCCCAGACACAGUCCAAUGUUCACUACAGCUGAGCUCCACAACUUCUCACACCCUCCAAAGAAACAAACAAAUAAACGUGAGGACUGCAGAGCACUUCUUUGAGGCGAUGGCGUUUGCUGUGAUCACGAUUAGUGGGAGAGCAAACACAUUAACGAUGUUCCGGUUUACACUUUCCAAAGCAAAAUAAAAUGUCUUUCACUUCAAGUGGGGCCAUUCUAGUGACCCCCCCAGUGACAAAUAAAGCAUAUACGGGCUGGUUGAUCUCUGCUUAAGAAUUGGAAGCUAAUAAAACACAUUUUGUGAUGGGUACCCCAUCGGUACCUCUUAGCAUGCAAAAUACUCUCAUAAAUAUCUGGAGUUUUUGUUUUUGUCCAUGUUUCUUUUGUUGGAGUUAAUGGCAAGGACAUGUGUAACUAAAGUCAACCAUCGCUUCCUACUGCCUGGCUGGCAUAAAAGCGACUAGGGGGGUGCUGCAUGUCGCACAACUUACGAUAAGACCAUCCAGAUGAUAGCCAUGCGUUAUCUUUACAUGGCUUUCCGGCCGGGAGACAAAUGAACAAAGUGUGAUAACAGGAACAAAAGCUCAGCUCUUAUUGGCUGUGGGCUUAAUAGAAAAAAAUUGUUUCAUGGAAAAACCACAAAAGGUGCAGUUCAUUUAUUUUUUAAUUUUCUCCAUUGCCAAGGUCUCACGGUUUAUCGCUUCCAAUAUUUAUAUUGACUUUGGUGGGAAAUAUGCUUUUGUGGGAUGCAAUUACCCGGACCUAUAAAGCAGUUCUUACAAGUGGAAAGACGAUAAAACGUGUUUCAGGAAAACACUUCAAAUUAACCAGAGGGGGAAAUGAAUUCAUAAAGGAGAGACAGAAAAGAGGGCAGAGAAAGCUAGAUGGGAGCGCAGCAAGACAGAGAGACAGACAUACAGACAGACAGCACAAAAGGGGGGGGGGGGGGG
This is a long non-coding RNA of Gadus morhua (Atlantic cod), 1795 nucleotides long. RefSeq lists it as uncharacterized. The transcript is spliced from 3 exons. NCBI's taxonomy places the organism in Eukaryota, Metazoa, Chordata, Actinopteri, Gadiformes, Gadidae. The record is from RefSeq and is a predicted model, not a curated record.